This is a non-coding RNA of Pogona vitticeps (central bearded dragon), 468 nucleotides long. The record is from RefSeq and is a predicted model, not a curated record. NCBI's taxonomy places the organism in Eukaryota, Metazoa, Chordata, Lepidosauria, Squamata, Agamidae.
AUUUCAUUUAUGAUGUCACUGACUUCACAAUAAAGCCUGUUACUUGCAUACUGGUAGAAGAGUUUAUAUCUCAUUGGUGCCACCACUGGUGUCUGAAUAACAUCAACCAUCAUAACAGAUUAUGACCAACUGAAUACUUUGUUCUACCUGACGCUGAAAACUUAAAAACGAAUGAUGGUGCGGCAAGUACGCCGGUACAGCAGAAAUGAGAGAGCACUUCGCCUGAGGCGAUUAAGACGAAGGAGGAAAAGUGCUAGAAGACUCAAUAGGAGGCAGAAGAGAGGCAGACGCCAAUCCCAUUACCGCAGGAGCUCAUUGUCACCCUAGCUACUUUCACUUCCUGAAGUAGGACAGCUGCGGCUCACAUAAACAAAUAUGUUGGGAGAUCAGGACCAUGGCAGAGAAACAUGACACAUCAAGCAGCUGCAAGCAUUAGUGCCAAGCAAUAAACCAUCUGAGUACCGCUCA